Molecule: long non-coding RNA, 375 nt
Organism: Arabidopsis thaliana (thale cress)
Lineage: Eukaryota; Viridiplantae; Streptophyta; Magnoliopsida; Brassicales; Brassicaceae
Product: other RNA
Exons: 2
Source: RefSeq
GCUGCUUCUUAAUCACCACAAAAACAAGUACUUAGUUAGUAGUGAAAAACUAAAAACCAGUUUAAACAGGUAGAUAUACAACACUGUUUAGAUAACCGAGAUGGUUGGCGAAUUAAACAUAGUUUUAUUAAUAAUUGAAGAAGGAAAACGACAGAUCACCAAAGUAGGGACUAUGACAUUAAGAAGGGAAUCAAAACUUAGUGUUUGGUUAUUCAUGGGCUCUUAUUACUUCUUUGGGGGUUAAAAUGUGAAAGCCUAUUCAUAUCAAAUCAUGGAUAUGACUUAUGCAAUAAUGGACUUGUUGGAUAACAGUAAGUGGGUGAUAUGUUUUGGAAGUAGUUUCAGUUUUUUUCCUAUUGGAGAAAGAGAAGAGGU